Molecule: ribosomal RNA, 548 nt
Filed under: uncultured Glomus
Lineage: Eukaryota; Fungi; Glomeromycota; Glomeromycetes; Glomerales; Glomeraceae
Description: SSU rRNA
Rfam family: Eukaryotic small subunit ribosomal RNA
Source: RNAcentral
UUGGAGGGCAAGUCUGGUGCCAGCAGCCGCGGUAAUUCCAGCUCCAAUAGCGUAUAUUAAAGUUGCUGCGGUUAAAAAGCUCGUAGUUGAAUUUCGGGACCAUCAUGUCGGUCGUGCCUCGGUACGUACUGGCAUUGUUGGUUUCUCCCUUCUGACGAACCAUGAUGUCAUUUAUUUGGUGUUGUGGGGAAUCAGGACUGUUACUUUGAAAAAAUUAGAGUGUUUAAAGCAGGCUCACGCUUGAAUACAUUAGCAUGGAAUAAUGAAAUAGGACGUUUGAUUCUAUUUUGUUGGUUUCUAGGAUCGACGUAAUGAUUAAUAGGGAUAGUUGGGGGCAUUAGUAUUCAAUUGUCAGAGGUGAAAUUCUUGGAUUUAUUGAAGACUAACUACUGCGAAAGUAUUUGCCAAGGAUGUUUUCAUUAAUCAAGAACGAAAGUUAGGGGAUCGAAGACGAUCAGAUACCGUCGUAGUCUUAACCAUAAACUAUGCCGACUAGGGAUCGGAUGAUGUUAAUUUUUUAAUGACUCAUUCGGCGCCUUACGGGAAAC